This 301-nucleotide ribosomal RNA is filed under the name uncultured bacterium. Its description in RNAcentral is "partial 16S ribosomal RNA". It matches the Rfam family "Bacterial small subunit ribosomal RNA", at positions 509 to 808 of the family's 1533-position model. The record is from RNAcentral.
CAGCCGCCACGGUAAUCCGUAGGUGGCAAGCGUUGUCCGGAAUUAUUGGGCGUAAAGCGCGCGCAGGCGGUUUCUUAAGUCUGAUGUGAAAGCCCCCGGCUUAACCGGGGAGGGUCAUUGGAAACUGGGAGACUUAGAGUGCAGAAGAGGAGAGUGGAAUUCCAUGUGUAGCGGUGAAAUGCGUAGAUAUAUGGAGGAACACCAGUGGCGAAGGCGACUCUCUGGUCUGUAACUGACGCUGAGGCGCGAAAGCGUGGGGAGCAAACAGGAUUAGAUACCCCCGUAGUCCCUGUCUCUUAUA